AGCAGGUUUAAAUAUUCUUGCCUAGAGUAGUUUUUAAAUUGAAAACGUAGUUUCCAUAGUUUGUGGUAACCCGCAUGGGUAUCAGCAUACACUUUUCGCAUUUACGAUGUUGCAAUCGAAAUUGGGAUAGUUAAAUGCAUCUAACCCGUG
Non-coding RNA from Caenorhabditis elegans, 150 nucleotides. NCBI's taxonomy places the organism in Eukaryota, Metazoa, Nematoda, Chromadorea, Rhabditida, Rhabditidae. The record is from Ensembl.